This 497-nucleotide ribosomal RNA is filed under the name uncultured bacterium. RNAcentral's name for it is "partial 16S ribosomal RNA". It matches the Rfam family "Bacterial small subunit ribosomal RNA", at positions 28 to 507 of the family's 1533-position model. The record is from RNAcentral.
GAUGAACGCUGGCGGCGUGCCUAAUACAUGCAAGUCGAGCGAACAGACGAGGAGCUUGCUCCUCCGACGUUAGCGGCGGACGGGUGAGUAACACGUGGAUAACCUACCUAUAAGACUGGGAUAACUUUGGGAAACCGGAGCUAAUACCGGAUAAUAUAUUGAACCGCAUGGUUCAAUAGUGAAAGACGGUUUUGCUGUCACUUAUAGAUGGAUCCGCGCCGCAUUAGCUAGUUGGUAAGGUAACGGCUUACCAAGGCAACGAUGCGUAGCCGACCUGAGAGGGUGAUCGGCCACACUGGAACUGAGACACGGUCCAGACUCCUACGGGGGGCAGCAGUAGGGAAUCUUCCGCAAUGGGCGAAAGCCUGACGGAGCAACGCCGCGUGAGUGAUGAAGGUCUUCGGAUCGUAAAACUCUGUUAUUAGGGAAGAACAAAUGUGUAAGUAACUAUGCACGUCUUGACGGUACCUAAUCAGAAAGCCACGGCUAACUACGUG